GGCACGAAAGACAAGACUUUCUUGAGCAUAAGGUCACCUUCUCGGAACACACGAGGCUUGACCUUCUUAUCAAAUGCUUUUUCACUCUCUGCUGACAUGACUGACCAUGACACAUGGCAGUUAAUCUCUUCGCUCUUUCCGUCGAAUUCAGCAUUAGUCAACUUGGGACUUUGAGGGUGCUAUCUUUCUUUUGUUUUUUUUUUGUUUUUUUUUCUUUUGAUUUUGCUUUUGAUUUUGCUUUCUUUUGAUUUCUUUUGAUUUCUUUUGAUUUCUUUUGAUUUUGAUUGAUUUCUUUUUUUUUGAUUUUGCACCCUCCUCUUUCUCUUUUUUUUCUCUUUUUUUUUUGAUAAAAUGCCCCAGUUGGCUGUUCUGCUGAUUCUCGAGAUGCAGCUGAGUGAUCUUCUUUUCUUGCUCAAGAAGUCGGGAAAUCUCGUCAGGAAUCCCUUCAACAUCAUCUUCGUCCGCUUCAAAUACAGGGAAUUCAAAAUUGGGAGAUGACGUCCGAUCACUAUGUUCAAUGGGUUUGAGAAACAACCUGCAUAAAGAUUUUGAUAUGAAAAGCUUUUUGGAAACAAACAAGACAAUCGUUAUGCAGAUGAAAAGAUUGCUUUUAUUCUUG
RNAcentral lists this long non-coding RNA (619 nucleotides) under Lathyrus oleraceus (garden pea). RNAcentral describes it as "Pisum sativum (pea) long non-coding RNA (PSAT_LNC017067)". The record is from RNAcentral. Lineage: Eukaryota; Viridiplantae; Streptophyta; Magnoliopsida; Fabales; Fabaceae.